AUCAUCAUCUCCAUCUACCUUCGAGUCGCACUGUCCAUGCUCUUGUCUACUUCAGCAACCUUCUUUUUAGCCACCUUUUUAACGAUUCUUGUCUUUGAAGGGGUCUGCUCAUUAGCCUUAGCACCAGGAUCUGAGCUCCCACCUGUUUGAGCUCCAACAAUAAUUUCUGAGCCCUUCUCUUCAUUUUCCCCGGGUCUCGCAACACCCUUCUCGUCGUUGAC
RNAcentral lists this long non-coding RNA (221 nucleotides) under Brassica napus (rape). RNAcentral's name for it is "long non-coding RNA (BNAP_LNC014416)". The record is from RNAcentral. Lineage: Eukaryota; Viridiplantae; Streptophyta; Magnoliopsida; Brassicales; Brassicaceae.